GCCUCGGUGGUCUAAAGGCUUACGAUGCUCGCCCAGAAAGCAAGAGAUCCGGGUUCGACUCCCGGCCGAGGUA
Trachymyrmex cornetzi is the source of this 73-nucleotide transfer RNA. It matches the Rfam family "tRNA". Rfam says of the family: Transfer RNA (tRNA) molecules are approximately 80 nucleotides in length. Their secondary structure includes four short double-helical elements and three loops (D, anti-codon, and T loops). The record is from Rfam. Lineage: Eukaryota; Metazoa; Arthropoda; Insecta; Hymenoptera; Formicidae.